RNAcentral lists this ribosomal RNA (238 nucleotides) under uncultured bacterium. Its description in RNAcentral is "partial 16S ribosomal RNA". It matches the Rfam family "Bacterial small subunit ribosomal RNA", at positions 100 to 334 of the family's 1533-position model. The record is from RNAcentral.
CGGCACGGGUGAGUAACACGUAGGUAAUGUACCUUUGGGUGGGGAAGUAACUUAGGGAAACUUAAGCUAAUACCGCAUAAUGCAGCGGCUCCUUCGGGAGACAGUUGUUAAAGAUUUAUCGCCUAAAGAGCAGCCUGCGGCAGAUUAGCUAGUUGGUAAGGUAACGGCUUACCAAGGCUACGAUCUGUAUCCGACCUGAGAGGGUGGUCGGACACACUGACACUGAAUAACGGGUCAG